This 265-nucleotide ribosomal RNA is filed under the name uncultured bacterium. Its description in RNAcentral is "partial 16S ribosomal RNA". It matches the Rfam family "Bacterial small subunit ribosomal RNA", at positions 793 to 1055 of the family's 1533-position model. The record is from RNAcentral.
GUCCACGCCGUAAACGAUGUUCACUAGGUGUUGGGGGUAUUGACCCCCUCAGUGCCGGAGCUAACGCAUUAAGUGAACCGCCUGGGGAGUACGGUCGCAAGACUAAAACUCAAAGGAAUUGACGGGGCCCGCACAAGCGGUGGAGCAUGUGGUUUAAUUCGAUGCAACGCGAAGAACCUUACCUGGGCUUGACAUCUGGGGAAUCCUCUGGAAACAGAGGAGUGCCUUUCGGGGAGCCCCAAGACAGGUGCUGCAUGGCUGUCGU